UGGAAUUCAGCCAAGUUUAUAGCUUACUUUAUCACAGAGGAGAGAGAAGAAUGAGGUAAAUUAUGGGUCGUUAAUUGACCCUUCAAAUCCUUUCUUUUUCUGCAAGCACUCUAUUCUUUUCUGUAUUCAUUCAUCAUUUAAAAGUUCCUAUAAAUCUAGCAAAUAUAUUAACCCAUGAUUCACCAACACUGGAUGGUUUGCUGAAACAGUCCCAUGUACCCGCUACAACUUCUCAUGUCAACAACGCAAAUCCACUAGUUAUUCUACAUCUAUAUUUCUUAAUCAAUAUUUUCAUUACUUAUGUCCAACACCCGGAGAAUCGUUGACUGCAGGAGAAGGUGGUGCAUACUCUGUGCUUCUCAAAAUUUUGCGCAGCUGCCAUGGAAUUACGACACCUCCACUGUUGGUGCAAUUGGUAGAAUUCAUCGAGUUCCAAGGAAGAUCUUCUGAAAAAGCAAAUCAAGAAAACAGAGUUAAGCCAGAGCCAGUCGUAAGGUAGGAUAUAUACACACAGCAUGAAGGACUUUAGAGUACUCGCUGCUGCUUUAGCGUUAUUUGGAGAGAGAACCGUUAGGAUGGGUAACGUGAGAACCAAUGCUAAUAGAAACCCUGGAGGUAAAGACUUCAUGAAGGAUAGAGGCAAUGA
Molecule: long non-coding RNA, 646 nt
Filed under: Elaeis guineensis (African oil palm)
Lineage: Eukaryota; Viridiplantae; Streptophyta; Magnoliopsida; Arecales; Arecaceae
Description: long non-coding RNA (EGUI_LNC063295)
Source: RNAcentral